This 294-nucleotide long non-coding RNA is filed under the name Nicotiana benthamiana. RNAcentral's name for it is "long non-coding RNA (NBEN_LNC005163)". Lineage: Eukaryota; Viridiplantae; Streptophyta; Magnoliopsida; Solanales; Solanaceae. The record is from RNAcentral.
CAGAAUGCAAUUACAGCUGCUGCAUUUGUAACCACUACUGCACUCAUUUGGAGGGAAAGAAACCACAUUCGAUUUGAAGGAGCUGCUUUUGUGGAGGAAUCGACAUGCAGAGAAAUUGCCUUACUCCUACAUCUUAGAGGCAGGAAAUGCAAAGACUGGCUGACUGGAUUGAGAAAGCUAAACUGUUUCCCUUAGCUAGUAUACUUAGUCUUCAUAUGAUUUCUACUUGUGUAUAGAUAGUCAAGAAUGUAGAGUUUUUUUUUGAGACAGUGUAGUAGUUAGUCCAUACUACUA